Mesocricetus auratus (golden hamster) is the source of this 377-nucleotide long non-coding RNA. RefSeq lists it as uncharacterized. The transcript is spliced from 2 exons. NCBI's taxonomy places the organism in Eukaryota, Metazoa, Chordata, Mammalia, Rodentia, Cricetidae. The record is from RefSeq and is a predicted model, not a curated record.
AAUUGCUCCUGAAAUUCCCCUAGGCUAUGCUUAAAAGGAGCCUGCAUGUCCCUCUGGGGGUCAUCACCAUUUUGUUCAGCUUGACUGCAUUUAGAACCCUGGGAGAUGCACUUCUGAGAACAUUAGUGAGAGCACAUCCAAAGAUGAACUGAGAAGAGAAGACCUGCCCUGAAUAUGGGUGACUCCACCCAUGGGCUGAGGACCUGCCAAAAUCGAAGAAAAAGGAAAAGAGAGCCAAGCACCAGCCCACCAACUCUCUGCCUCCUGAUCUGCCCAGAUGUGAGCACACAGCUGUAUCAUGCUCUACCACCGUAGUCAAAGCCUUCCCUGCUGCUGUAAACCUCAAACCCUGAACCAAAAUAAACUUAUUCUAUUAA